UACGGGGGGAGCAAGCGUUGUUCGGAAUUACUGGGCGUAAAGGGUGUCUAGGCGGCCUUGUAAGUCGGGGGUGAAAUCCACUGGCUCAACCAGUGACGUGCCUUCGAAACUGCUAGGCUUGAGUAUGGCAGAGGAGAGCGGAAUUCCAGGUGUAGCGGUGAAAUGCGUAGAUAUCUGGAAGAACACCGGUGGCGAAGGCGGAUCUCUGGGCCUUACCUGACGCUGAGGCGCGAAAGCUAGGGGAGCGAACAGG
Molecule: ribosomal RNA, 253 nt
Filed under: uncultured bacterium
Lineage: Bacteria
Description: partial 16S ribosomal RNA
Rfam family: Bacterial small subunit ribosomal RNA
Source: RNAcentral